GGAGAGGGCUAGCGUUAUUCGGAAUUAUUGGGCGUAAAGGGCGCGUAGGCGGAUUAGUAAGUUAAAAGUGAAAUCCCAAGGCUCAACCUUGGAAUUGCUUUUAAAACUGCUAAUCUAGAGAUUGAAAGAGGAUAGAGGAAUUCCUAGUGUAGAGGUGAAAUUCGUAAAUAUUAGGAGGAACACCAGUGGCGAAGGCGUCUAUCUGGUUCAAAUCUGACGCUGAGGCGCGAAGGCGUGGGGAGCAAACAGGAUUAGAUACCCUGGUAGUCCACGCUGUAAACGAUGAAUGUUAAAUAUGGGGAGUUUACUUUCUGUAUUACAGCCAACGCGUUAAACAUUCCGCCUGGGGACUACGGUCGCAAGAUUAAAACUCAAAGGAAUUGACGGGGACCCGCACAAGCGGUGGAGCAUGUGGUUUAAUUCGAUGCAACGCGAAAAACCUUACCACUCCUUGACAUGGAAAUUAUACCUAUUCGAAGGGAUAGGGUCGGUUCGGCCGGGUUUCACACAGGUGU
This 515-nucleotide ribosomal RNA is filed under the name bacterium symbiont of Megymenum gracilicorne. RNAcentral's name for it is "bacterial SSU rRNA". It matches the Rfam family "Bacterial small subunit ribosomal RNA", at positions 527 to 1041 of the family's 1533-position model. The record is from RNAcentral.